AACGAACGCUGGCGGCAUGCCUAACACAUGCAAGUCGAACGAGACCUUCGGGUCUAGUGGCGCACGGGUGCGUAACGCGUGGGAACCUGCCCUUAGGUUCGGAAUAACUCCCCGAAAGGGGUGCUAAUACCGGAUAAUGUCUUCGGACCAAAGAUUUAUCGCCUUUGGAUGGGCCCGCGUUGGAUUAGCUAGUUGGUAGGGUAAAAGCCUACCAAGGCGACGAUCCAUAGCUGGUCUGAGAGGAUGAUCAGCCACACUGGGACUGAGACACGGCCCAGACGAGGACGGGAGGAGGCGGGGGGACAUAUUGAACAAGGGGACACGGCCGGACGACGGAGGGGGGGGGUAGUGAUGAGGGCGGUAGAGUGUUAAACAGCUUUUCCGGGGGAGUAAAAUAACAGUCGGGGUAGAAAAGCCCUCGGCCCCCGCCGUGCAAGCAGCGGCGUAGAAGAAAGAGCACCGGAUAGCAC
Molecule: ribosomal RNA, 470 nt
Filed under: uncultured bacterium
Lineage: Bacteria
Description: partial 16S ribosomal RNA
Rfam family: Bacterial small subunit ribosomal RNA (bases 20-302)
Source: RNAcentral